AUUUAUCCGGCAUAGGACAUAGGGCGGUUAUGGUUAGGUAUUGGGGGUGGUCUCCUGUCCCAAUUAGGAUUGAAGCACCUUACACGACUAGGCCCUAGUUUAGGUCGUGUCAUUAUCCUUUGUGAUAUUGGUGCGGCAUGGAGGGUAACCUCUGUCAUAUUAGUGUGUUAUGCCAAUGUUUAAAUUUCAUCUAGUUUUUGUUAUUUUUUGCUUAGGAUAAGGUGCUUUUGGUCUUUUUACCCCUUGUACGACCC
Molecule: long non-coding RNA, 254 nt
Filed under: Capsicum annuum
Lineage: Eukaryota; Viridiplantae; Streptophyta; Magnoliopsida; Solanales; Solanaceae
Description: long non-coding RNA (CANN_LNC012427)
Source: RNAcentral